Molecule: non-coding RNA, 85 nt
Organism: Lupinus angustifolius (narrow-leaved blue lupine)
Lineage: Eukaryota; Viridiplantae; Streptophyta; Magnoliopsida; Fabales; Fabaceae
Source: Rfam
GGGCUUAUGAUGAUAAUAUACUUUAUCUUAGCGGAUUUCAGUGAGAUUUCGAUCAAUGAUCUGAUUGUUACACACACUGAAGCCU